GCGAUGUUUCAUUUCCAAAUUUCUCCUGCCCUUAUCAACUUUUCCGACGGUAGGGUAGUGGCCUACCGUGGUGGUAACGGGUAACGGAGGAUUAGGGUUCGAUUCCGGAGAGGGAGCCUGAGAAACGGCUACCACAUCCAAGGAAGGCAGCAGGCGCGCAAAUUACCCAAAUCCCAACUCGGGGAGGUAGUGACAAGAAAUAACGAUGCUCCGGCCAUCGGUCGGGUAAUCGGAAUGAGGACAAUUUAAAUCCCUUAUCGAGGAUCAAUUGGAGGGCAAGUCUGGUGCCAGCAGCCGCGGUAAUUCCAGCUCCAAUAGCGUAUAUUUAAGUUGCUGCGGUUAAAAAGCUCGUAGUCGGAUUUCGGGUGGUGCCUACCGGUCCGCCUUUGGUGUGUACUGGUAGGCGCCACCUUUCUGCCGAGGACGGGUUCCUGGGCUUAACUGUCUGGGGCCCGGAGUCGGCGACGUCACUUUGAGUAAAUUAGGGUGUUUAAAGCAGGCUUAUGCUCUGUAUACACUAGCAUGGGAUGACACGAUAGGACUUCGGUCUAUCUUGUCGGUCUGUAGAUCGGAGUAAUGAUUAAGAGGGACAGUCGGGGGCAUUCGUAUUUCGUAGUCAGAGGUGAAAUUCUUGGAUUUACGGAAGACGAACUUCUGCGAAAGCAUUUGCCAAGGAUGUUUUCAUUGAUCAAGAACGAAAGUCGGGGGCUCGAAGACAAUUAGAUACCGUCGUAGUCUCGACCAUAAACGAUGCC
This 755-nucleotide ribosomal RNA is filed under the name Trentepohliaceae sp. Kukwa 19758. RNAcentral's name for it is "SSU rRNA". It matches the Rfam family "Eukaryotic small subunit ribosomal RNA", at positions 281 to 1043 of the family's 1831-position model. Lineage: Eukaryota; Viridiplantae; Chlorophyta; Ulvophyceae; Trentepohliales; Trentepohliaceae. The record is from RNAcentral.